AUUGAACGCUGGCGGCAUGCUUUACACAUGCAAGUCGACGGCAGCGCGGGCUUCGGCCUGGCGGCGAGUGGCGAACGGGUGAGUAAUGCAUCGGAACGUGCCCAGUAGUGGGGGAUAGCCCGGCGAAAGCCGGAUUAAUACCGCAUACGACCUGAGGGUGAAAGCGGGGGACCGAAAGGCCUCGCGCUAUUGGAGCGGCCGAUGUCGGAUUAGCUAGUUGGUGGGGUAAAGGCUUACCAAGGCGACGAUCCGUAGCUGGUCUGAGAGGACGACCAGCCACACUGGGACUGAGACACGGCCCAGACUCCUACGGGAGGCAGCAGUGGGGAAUUUUGGACAAUGGGGGCAACCCUGAUCCAGCCAUGCCGCGUGCGAGAAGAAGGCCUUCGGGUUGUAAACCGCUUUUGUUCGGGAAGAAAUCCUCUGGGCUAAUACCCCGGGGGGAUGACGGUACCGGAAGAAUAAGCACCGGCUAACUACGUG
RNAcentral lists this ribosomal RNA (483 nucleotides) under uncultured bacterium. Its description in RNAcentral is "partial 16S ribosomal RNA". It matches the Rfam family "Bacterial small subunit ribosomal RNA", at positions 28 to 507 of the family's 1533-position model. The record is from RNAcentral.